CUUCAUAAACCGUGGCUCAGUUCAGAUCGUAGGCUGCAACUCGCCUACGUGAAGGAGGAAUCGCUAGUAAUCGCAGGUCAGCAUACUGCGGUGAAUACGUUCCCGGGCCUUGUACACACCGCCCGUCACACCAUGGAAGUUGGCCACGCCCGAAGCCGUUACUCCAACCCUUGUGGAGGAGGACGUCGAAGGUGGGGCUGAUGACUGGGGUGAAGUCGUAACAAGGUAGCCGUACCGGAAGGUGCGGCUGGAUCACCUCCUAA
Molecule: ribosomal RNA, 263 nt
Filed under: uncultured Synechococcus sp.
Lineage: Bacteria; Bacillati; Cyanobacteriota; Cyanophyceae; Synechococcales; Synechococcaceae
Description: partial 16S ribosomal RNA
Rfam family: Bacterial small subunit ribosomal RNA
Source: RNAcentral